AUACGGAGGAUCCGAGCGUUAUCCGGAUUUAUUGGGUUUAAAGGGUGCGCAGGCGGCCAUUUAAGUCAGCGGUUAAAUCGUGGGGCUCAACCCCAUUCUGCCGUUGAUACUGGGUGGCUUGAUUGCGGUCGAGGUUGGCGGAAUUCGUUGUGUAGCGGUGAAACGCAUAGAUAUGACGAAGAACACCGAUUGCGUAGGCAGCUGACCAGAUCGCAAAUGACGCUCAUGCACGAAAGUGCGGGGAUCGAACAGGAUUAGAUACCCUGGUAGUCCGCACAGUAAACGAUGAAUACUUGUUUUCGGCGAUAUAAUGUCGGAGGCAAAGCGAAAGCGAUAAGUAUUCCACCUGGGGAGUACGCCGGCAACGGUGAAACUCAAAUGAAUUGACGGGG
RNAcentral lists this ribosomal RNA (392 nucleotides) under uncultured bacterium. RNAcentral describes it as "partial 16S ribosomal RNA". It matches the Rfam family "Bacterial small subunit ribosomal RNA", at positions 523 to 918 of the family's 1533-position model. The record is from RNAcentral.